CUCUCGAGUUCAAGCAAUUCCCCUGCCUCAGCCUCCUGAGUAGCUAGGACUACAGGCGUGUACCACUACGUGGGCCUGGCUAAUUUUUUGCAUUUUAGUAGAGACAGGGUUUCACCAGGUUGGCCAGGAUGGUCUCGAUCUCCUGACCUCGUGAUCCAUCCGCCUCGACCUCCCAAAGUGCUGGGAUUAUAGAUUUAGGCCUAUUAAAGGAAGGCAGGAAGAACUAAAGGAAGUAAUUGAACGUUUUAAGAAAGAUGAACACUUGGAGAAAGCCUUCAAAUGUUUGACUUCAGGCGAAUGGGCACGGCACUAUUUUCUCAACAAGAAUAAAAUGCAGGAGAAAUUAUUCAAAGAACAUGUAUUUAUUUAUUUGCGAAUGUUUGCAACUGACAGUGGAUUUGAAAUAUUGCCAUGUAAUAGAUACUCAUCAGAACAAAAUGGAGCCAAAAUAGUUGCAACAAAAGAGUGGAAACGAAAUGACAAAAUAGAAUUACUGGUGGGUUGUAUUGCCGAACUUUCAGAAA
This 524-nucleotide small RNA is filed under the name Pan troglodytes (chimpanzee). RNAcentral describes it as "processed transcript". The record is from RNAcentral. Lineage: Eukaryota; Metazoa; Chordata; Mammalia; Primates; Hominidae.